This 853-nucleotide ribosomal RNA is filed under the name metagenome. RNAcentral describes it as "bacterial SSU rRNA". It matches the Rfam family "Bacterial small subunit ribosomal RNA", at positions 228 to 1095 of the family's 1533-position model. The record is from RNAcentral.
GGCCUGUGAAGUAUCAGCUAGUUGGUAGUGUAAUGGACUACCAAGGCUAUGACGCUUAGGGGAGCUGAGAGGCUGACCCUCACCGAUGGGACUGAGACACGGCCCAUACACCUACGGGUGGCUGCAGUCGAGAAUCUUCCGCAAUGGACGAAAGUCUGACGGAGCGACGCCGCGUGAUUGAUGAAGCUCUUCGGAGUGUAAAGAUCUUUUAUGAGGGAAGAAGUUUAUUGACGGUACCUCAUGAAUAAGGGGCUCCUAAUCUCGUGCCAGCAGGAGCGGUAAUACGAGAGCCCCGAGCGUUAUCCGGAAUUAUUGGGCGUAAAGGGUGCGUAGGUGGUAGUGUUAGUCGUUUGUUAAAUCCUUGGGCUUAACCUAAGAAUCGCGAACGAAACGGCACAACUAGAGAGUGUGAGGGGUAUAGGGAACUCAUGGUGUAGGGGUGAAAUCCGUUGAUAUCAUGGGGAACACCAAAAGCGAAGGCACUAUACUAGCACAUGUCUGACACUCAAGCACGAAAGCGUGGGUAGCGAAUGGGAUUAGAUACCCCAGUAGUCCACGCCCUAAACGAUGAUCUCUAGUCUUUCGGAGUAUCGACCCUCUGAGAGACGUAGCUAACGCGUUAAGAGAUCCGCCUGGGAAGUACGGCCGCAAGGCUAAAACUCAAAGGAAUAGACGGGGACUUGCACAAGUAGUGGAUUAUGUGGUUUAAUUCGACGAUAAACGAAGAACCUUACCAAGGUUAGAAAUCAACGUGAAAGCCCCGAGAAACCGGGGCCCUCGCAAGACUAGUUGACAGGUGAUGCAUGGCCGUCGUCAGUUCGUGGUUUGAAUUGUUCCCUUAAGUGGGUAACGA